Molecule: ribosomal RNA, 445 nt
Filed under: uncultured bacterium
Lineage: Bacteria
Description: bacterial SSU rRNA
Rfam family: Bacterial small subunit ribosomal RNA
Source: RNAcentral
AACACAUGCAAGUCGAACGGUAACAGAAAAAGCUUGCUUUUUGCUGACGAGUGGCGAACGGGUGCGUAACGCGUAUGCAACCUACCUUUAACUGAGGAAUAGCCCAGAGAAAUUUGGAUUAAUACCUCAUAACAUCAUUAUUUCGCAUGUUAUAAUGAUUAAAGCUUUUGCGGUUAAAGAUGGGCAUGCGUGACAUUAGUUUGUUGGUGAGGUAACGGCUCACCAAGACUACGAUGUCUAGGGGUUCUGAGAGGAAGAUCCCCCACACUGGUACUGAGACACGGACCAGACUCCUACGGGAGGCAGCAGUGAGGAAUAUUGGUCAAUGGACGAAAGUCUGAACCAGCCAUGCCGCGUGAAGGAUGACGGCCCUACGGGUUGUAAACUUCUUUUGUAUAGGAAGAAACCCCUCUACGUGUAGAGGGCUGACGGUACUAUACGAAUA